AUGUCCUGUGUUGCAGUGUCCCCGACCAGCCCCAGCCUCUUCCCACUGAGCCUCAAGAGCACUGACUCAGCCGACCACGUGGUCAUCGGCUGCCUGGUCCACGGCUUCUUCCCACUGGGGCCCAUGAAUGUGACCUGGAGCCACAGCGGGGAGGGCACUUCCAUCAGGAACUUCCUCCCAAUGAAAACCUCCGAGGGCCUGUAUACCAUGACCAGCCAGCUGACCCUGCCAGCCAACCAGUGCCCAGAAGGCGCCACCCAGAAGUGCCAAGUGCAGCACAACUCCAGCCCCAGCCAGACCAAGGACGUGCCCUGCAGAGAUAAGAAGUGUCCCGACUGUACAGCCUCAUGCUGCCAGCCCAGCCUGACGCUGCACCGGCCGGCCCUCGAGGACCUGCUCCUAGGCUCCAAUGCCAACCUCACGUGCACGCUGAGCGGCCUGAAAGACCCCCAGGGUGCCACCUUCACCUGGAAGCCCACAGGUGGAAAUCAUGCCAUCCAGGUGACCCCUCAGAGUGACUCCUAUGGCUGCUACAGCGUGUCCAGUGUCCUGCCAGGCUGUGCAGAGCUGUGGAACAGUGGGGAGAAGUUCACAUGCACCGCCAGCCACCCCGAGGUCAAGAGCCCACUAACCACCUCCAUCGCCAAAAACUCAGGAAGCCUCGUCCCACCCCAGGUCCACCUGCUGCCGCCACCGUCAGAGGAACUGGCCCUCAACGAGCUGGUGACCCUGACAUGCGUGGUGCGGGGCUUCAGCCCCAAGGACGUGCUGGUGCGAUGGCUGCAUGGAAACCAGGAGCUGCCCAAAGAGAAGUUCCUGACAUGGGAGCCCCUGCCGGAAGCCAACCAGGGCAGCACCAGGUUCGCCGUGACCAGCGUGCUGCGCGUGGGCUCUGAGGACUGGAAGAAUGGGGAUAAUUUCUCCUGCAUGGUGGGCCACGAGGCCCUGCCCCUGAGCUUCACUCAGAAGACCAUCGACCGCUUGGCGGGUAAACCCACCCAGGUCAAUGUGUCCGUGAUCUUGUCAGAGGUGGACGGCACCUGCUACUGA
Non-coding RNA from Miniopterus natalensis, 1050 nucleotides. NCBI's taxonomy places the organism in Eukaryota, Metazoa, Chordata, Mammalia, Chiroptera, Miniopteridae. The record is from the annotation of a RefSeq genome assembly.